CUGGCUCAGGAUGAACGCUAGCGACAGGCUAACACAUGCAAGUCGAGGGGCAGCACGGGAGUAGCAAUACAGCUGGUGGCGACCGGCGCACGGGUGAGUAACGCGUAUGCAACCUACCUAUCAGAGGGGAAUAACCCGGCGAAAGUCGGACUAAUACCGCAUAAAACAGGGGCACCGCAUGGUGAUAUUUGUUAAAGAAAUUCGCUGAUAGAUGGGCAUGCGUUCCAUUAGGUAGUUGGUGAGGUAACGGCUCACCAAGCCGACGAUGGAUAGGGGAACUGAGAGGUUGGUCCCCCACACUGGUACUGAGACACGGACCAGACUCCUACGGGAGGCAGCAGUGAGGAAUAUUGGUCAAUGGGCGAGAGCCUGAACCAGCCAAGUCGCGUGAAGGAAGAAGGAUCUAUGGUUCGUAAACUUCUUUUGCAGGGGAAUAAAGUGCAGGACGUGUCCUGUUUUGUAUGUACCCUGAGAAUAAGGAUCGGCUAACUCCGUGCCAGCCGCCGC
This 507-nucleotide ribosomal RNA is filed under the name uncultured bacterium. RNAcentral's name for it is "bacterial SSU rRNA". It matches the Rfam family "Bacterial small subunit ribosomal RNA", at positions 19 to 518 of the family's 1533-position model. The record is from RNAcentral.